CUUACCAUGCAGUCGAGCGGUAAGGCCCUUCGGGGUACACGAGCGGCGAACGGGUGAGUAACACGUGAGCAACCUGCCCCUGACUCCGGGAUAAGCGGUGGAAACGCCGUCUAAUACCGGAUACGACCCGCCACCUCAUGGUGGAGGGUGGAAAGUUUUAUCGGUCAGGGAUGGGCUCGCGGCCUAUCAGCUUGUUGGUGGGGUAAAGGCCUACCAAGGCGAUUACGGGUAGCCGGCCUGAGAGGGCGACCGGCCACACUGGGACUGAGACACGGCCCAGACUCCUGCGGGAGGCAGCAGUGGGGAAUAUUGCACAAUGGGCGAAAGCCUGAUGCAGCGACGCCGCGUGGGGGAUGAAGGCCUUCGGGUUGUAAACCUCUUUUACCACCAACGCAGGCUCCACGUUCUCGUGGGGUUGACGGUAGGUGGGGAAUAAGGACCGGCUAACUACGUGCCAGCAGCCGCGGUAAUACGUAGGGUCCGAGCGUUGUCCGGAAUUAUUGGGCGUAAAGAGCUCGUAGGCGGCAUGUCGCGUCUGCUGUGAAAGACCGGGGCUUAACUCCGGUUCUGCAGUGGAUACGGGCAUGCUAGAGGUAGGUAGGGGAAACUGGAAUUCCUGGUGUAGCGGUGAAAUGCGCAGAUAUCAGGAGGAACACCGGUGGCGAAGGCGGGUUUCUGGGCCUUACCUGACGCUGAGGAGCGAAAGCAUGGGGAGCGAACAGGAUUAGAUACCCUGGUAGUCCAUGCCGUAAACGUUGGGCGCUAGGUGUGGGGACUUUCCACGGUUUCCGCGCCGUAGCUAACGCAUUAAGCGCCCCGCCUGGGGAGUACGGCCGCAAGGCUAAAACUCAAAGGAAUUGACGGGGGCCCGCACAAGCGGCGGAGCAUGUUGCUUAAUUCGACGCAACGCGAAGAACCUUACCAAGGUUUGACAUCACCCGUGGACCUGUAGAGAUACAGGGUCAUUUAGUUGGUGGGUGACAGGUGGUGCAUGGCUGUCGUCAGCUCGUGUCGUGAGAUGUUGGGUUAAGUCCCGCAACGAGCGCAACCCUUGUUCCAUGUUGCCAGCACGUAAUGGUGGGGACUCAUGGGAGACUGCCGGGGUCAACUCGGAGGAAGGUGGGGACGACGUCAAGUCAUCAUGCCCCUUAUGUCUUGGGCUGCAAACAUGCUACAAUGGCCGGUACAAUGGGCGUGCGAUACCGUAAGGUGGAGCGAAUCCCUUAAAGCCGGUCUCAGUUCGGAUUGGGGUCUGCAACUCGACCCCAUGAAGGUGGAGUCGCUAGUAAUCGCGGAUCAGCAACGCCGCGGUGAAUACGUUCCCGGGCCUUGUACACACCGCCCGUCACGUCAUGAAAGUCGGCAACACCCGAAACUUGUGGCCUA
This 1386-nucleotide ribosomal RNA is filed under the name Nocardiopsis sp. PVA_94-08. Its description in RNAcentral is "bacterial SSU rRNA". It matches the Rfam family "Bacterial small subunit ribosomal RNA". The record is from RNAcentral. Lineage: Bacteria; Bacillati; Actinomycetota; Actinomycetes; Streptosporangiales; Nocardiopsidaceae.